GACGCACUGCGGGACAUAGUGAUGUCCUGGGUUGGGGCUGAGGAAGGCCUAUGCGCGGAGGGUGCGGCCUUCGGCUAAGGCAGAGGACCAGGGUUGGGUCCGUGGCGGCGGGAGGGGUGGCCUCCUGCGCUGGUCGCCCCAGGGGACCUGAGAGGCUCGACAAACAGUCGGCGCGUUUGGUACUCGCGCCUGCAGAGCUUUCAACCUCCGCGCCGGCUGCGCCUGUUUCUCGGCCAGGGGAGCAAGGCCACGCGGCCUACGUAGCCGAGUCGGAACCAACCGGUUGUUUAGUGCAACCUACCCCAGAACCUCCCGCGGCCCACAGAGCACAGACAGAAUCUCCCUCUGUCACCCAGGCUGGAGUGCAGUGGCAUGAUCUCGGCUCACUGCAACCUCCACCUCCCGGGUUCAAGCGAUUCUUGUGCCUCAGCCUCCGGAGUAGCUGGGAUUUACAGACGUGCGCUACCAUGCCCGGCAAAUUUUUCUAUUUUUGCAAAGACAGGAUUUCACCGUUUUGUCCAGGCUGGUCUUGAACUAUUGACCUCAAGUGAUCCGACCGCCUUGACCUCCCAAAGUGCUGAGAUUACGGGGUGUGAGCCAUCGCGCCUGGCCACUUUCUCCAAAGUUUUAAACCAAAGCCUUCUACGGCAGAGCUAGGACCCUUCCUCUAUGGCCCAUUCUAUCCUAUGCUGCUUCCCUUUUUAAGGACACUCCCACUGUUGUGCUAUAAUCAUCUCUUGGUAUCUCCAGACUCUGCCACUCUGAGCCCUCCUUACAGCCUAGAAAAAAUGACAGAUCUCGUAGCUGUUUGGGAUGUUGCUUUAAGUGACGGAGUCCACAAGAUCGAAUUUGAACAUGGGACUACAUCAGGCAAACGAGUAGUAUAUGUAGAUGGAAAGGAAGAGAUAAGAAAAGAGUGGAUGUUCAAAUUAGUGGGCAAAGAAACAUUCUAUGUUGGAGCUGCAAAGACAAAAGCGACCAUAAAUAUAGAUGCUAUCAGUGGUUUUGCUUAUGAAUAUACUCUGGAAAUUAAUGGGAAAAGUCUCAAGAAGUAUAUGGAGGACAGAUCAAAAACCACCAAUACUUGGGUAUUACACAUGGAUGGUGAGAACUUUAGAAUUGUUUUGGAAAAAGAUACUAUGGACGUAUGGUGCAAUGGUAAAAAAUUGGAGACAGCGGUAAGUUGACUAUUUGAUGACUCUUAGUGCCAUGUGUCUAAGUUACCAUUGAAUUGUUGCUGCAUUUCCUAAUUAUAGAGAUUUUAUAAUGAAUCAAGGCCCUCUUGAUAAAAACAAAAAAGGGAUUAAGUACUCCUGACUUCAGAUUCUGAAAACCUUUGCCAGAUGGUGCCUGGUACCAUGAGUUUGGAAACAACUUAUGUUCUUAGCUGGCACUAGCUUCAUACUCUCCCUUUCCUGUCCUGGACCAGGCUCCAGCAUAGCAAGUAAAAUACCUAGCAAGUAAAAUACUUAAAAGAGCCCCUAGUUAAAAAAUUAUAUCCCCAAAGGUUGGUGUCCUCUUGUGUUGAUCCAUUUGAAGUGGUGCGUUAUCACUGCUUCUCAAACUUGCAUGCACAGAAAUUGCCAGGGAUCUUGUUAAAAUGCUAAUUCUAACAUUUCCCUAGGUGCUGCUAAUGCUACUGGUCCACAGAUCACACUUUAGGAAUGCUUUACACCAUACACUCAAAGCAGAUGGUUCUUUUCUGAAAGCGAGAUUUUUGUAAAAUGAGUGAUACAGUAUCAGAUGACACGAAGGUAGACGAACAGGAAAGGGCACUCUCACGAACCCCAGAGGACAAGUGGAAUUUUAGACCAGCAGUGCCAAUGCGAGGAGAAAGAGGCUACCCCAGUCACUGUGGCCAGGCACACUGAAAUCCCCAUCUAGAUAGACUCCAGUGUGUUUGACUUUUGCUAUCAGGUGCUUCGAUUACUAUGGCUGUGGAUGGGAUGAAUGUACGAGUGAAUUUCAAGCAGGAGUGAAACAGUAGUAGUGUGCACAGGGGAGAGAGUGGGAAACAGAAAGUGUGGGACUAGGAGCCAAAAUCACUGGGUGGUAAUCCCCAUGUCUUAUGGGGUCUGUGGGCCAAGCAGGGAGUGCUAUCCCUGGGACCCACCUUUCAUGCUGGCUCCAGAUGUGAACAUCAGGGCUAGAGAUAAUCGGAAGCUCUCUUCUCUGGUCACAUUUUGCAUGUUGUAGUUGCUUUUAUCUCAUUUGUAUAGUAUAGGUUUAAGACAGUGAGAAAAGGUGAUUUUGGUAGUUGGAGGAAAGGAGGUCUGGGAUUAAUUCAUUCAGAAGACCACCUAGAACCUACUUGGUCUGAUAGCUGUUUCUGAGGAGGUGACAAAGCCAGAAAUCAAAAAUUACAAAGAUGAAGCCACACGUGGUAGCACAGGUCUGUAGUGGCUUCCUACUUGGGAGGCUGACGUGAGAGGGACCCUUGAGCCUAGGAGUUUUAGGCCAGCCUGAGAAACAUAGUGAGACCCAUCUCUAAAAAAAUUAAUCAAUCAAUUGAAAUUUAAAAGUUACAAAGAUGAAUGCUUUUCUGUUUCUGAGUCCUGAAGAAUUUAAUUUGGGCUCACUCUAAAUUGAGUGCUUGAGCUGCUCUCUGGGUUAAAUCUACUGAUAGAGACUUCUUUUAUGCAGAGAGGCUUGGAGAGUGCUUCAGUAUUUUAUGGCCCCCUUUGGAAAAACUCCAGUUACCACUAACAUGGAUCAGAUACCUACUGUGUGCCCAAUGCCAUACCUGGUGGUUCUUCCUGUUCUUUUUUUCCUACCCUGGAAUUCUCUAGAUAGGGAAUCAGCACUUUUGAAUCGCAUUUCCUCCUAUACUCAAGAAAUUCUCCAGUGCACAUGUAAAGAGAAUGCUGUUUUAUGGUAUUAAGAAUAUGGUUGUACUGGGCAAGGUGACUCAUGCAUGUAAUCCCAGCACUUUGGGAGGCUGAGGCGGGCAGAUUGCUUGAACCUAGGAGUUAGAGACUAGUUUGGGUGACAUGGCGAAACCCCUCUCUACUAAAAAUACAAAAAUUAAUAGAGCAUGGUGGCACAUGCCUAUAGUCCCAGCUACUCAGGAGGCUGAGGUGGAAGAAUUACCUGAGCCCAGGGAGAUUGAGGCUGCAGUGAGCCAAGGUUGCACCACGGCACUCCAGCCUCGGUAACAGAAUGUGAGACCCUGUCUC
This 3176-nucleotide small RNA is filed under the name Pan troglodytes (chimpanzee). RNAcentral's name for it is "retained intron". Lineage: Eukaryota; Metazoa; Chordata; Mammalia; Primates; Hominidae. The record is from RNAcentral.